UACGUAGGGUGCAAGCGUUAAUCGGAAUUACUGGGCGUAAAGCGUGCGCAGGCGGUUUUGUAAGUCAGCUGUGAAAUCCCCGGGCUUAACCUGGGAACUGCGUUUGAAACUACAAGGCUAGAGUGUGACAGAGGGGGGUGGAAUUCCACGUGUAGCAGUGAAAUGCGUAGAGAUGUGGAGGAACACCGAUGGCGAAGGCAGCCCCCUGGGUUAACACUGACGCUCAGGCACGAAAGCGUGGGGAGCAAACAGG
RNAcentral lists this ribosomal RNA (253 nucleotides) under uncultured bacterium. Its description in RNAcentral is "partial 16S ribosomal RNA". It matches the Rfam family "Bacterial small subunit ribosomal RNA", at positions 524 to 776 of the family's 1533-position model. The record is from RNAcentral.